AACUUUUAGCAACGGAUCUCUUGGCUUUCGCAUCGAUGAAGAACGCAGCGAAAUGCGAUAAGUAAUGUGAAUUGCAGAAUUCAGUGAAUCAUCGAAUCUUUGAACGCACCUUGCACCCUUUGGCAUUCCGAAGGGUAUGCUCGUUUGAGUGUCAUUGUACUCUCACACUCCCGAUGCUUUUGGAUUGGGAGUGGUGGACUUGGGUGUUGCUGCUUUACUGUGGCUCACCUCAAAUGGAGUAGUGCAACUCUUGGUUGGACAUAGUACGGCGUGAUAAGUGUCUUCGCCGGCGCCUCAUUAGAGGGUGGCCGAUCGGGAGCUCUGUGCUUCAAACCGUCUUCGGACAACAUCUGACAACUUGACCUCAAAUCGAGUAGGACUACCCGCUGAACUUAAGCAUAUCAAUAAGCGGAGGCU
RNAcentral lists this unclassified non-coding RNA (417 nucleotides) under uncultured Sebacina. RNAcentral describes it as "sequence contains ITS2". The stretch from base 1 to 154 matches the Rfam family "5.8S ribosomal RNA". The record is from RNAcentral. Lineage: Eukaryota; Fungi; Basidiomycota; Agaricomycetes; Sebacinales; Sebacinaceae.